RNAcentral lists this ribosomal RNA (294 nucleotides) under uncultured bacterium. RNAcentral describes it as "partial 16S ribosomal RNA". It matches the Rfam family "Bacterial small subunit ribosomal RNA", at positions 29 to 334 of the family's 1533-position model. The record is from RNAcentral.
AGUGAACGCUGGCGGCGUGCUUAACACAUGCAAGUCGAACGAGAGAAGCUGGUGCUUGCACUAGCCUAUCUAGUGGCAUACGGGUGAGUAAUACAUGGGAAUCUACCUUGUAGUACAGAAUAACUACUGGAAACAGUAGCUAAUACUGUAUAUUGCCGAGAGGUGAAAGAUUUAUCGCUACAAGAUGAGCCCAUGCGAGAUUAGCUUGUUGGUGGGGUAAUGGCCUACCAAGGCUGCGAUCUUUAGCUGGUCUGAGAGGAUGAUCAGCCACACUGGAACUGAGACACGGUCCAG